AGUGAACGCUGGCGGUAGGCCUAACACAUGCAAGUCGAACGGCAGCACAGUAAGAGCUUGCUCUUACGGGUGGCGAGUGGCGGACGGGUGAGGAAUACAUCGGAAUCUACUUUUUCGUGGGGGAUAACGUAGGGAAACUUACGCUAAUACCGCAUACGACCUACGGGUGAAAGCAGGGGCUCUUCGGACCUUGCGCGAUUGAAUGAGCCGAUGUCGGAUUAGCUAGUUGGCGGGGUAAAGGCCCACCAAGGCGACGAUCCGUAGCUGGUCUGAGAGGAUGAUCAGCCAAACUGGAACAGAGACACGGUCCGGACUCCUACAGGAGGCAGCGGUUGGGAAUAUUGGACAAUGGGCGCAAGCCUGAUCCAGCCAUACCGCGUGGGUGAAGAAGGCCUUCGGGUUGUAAAGCCCUUUUGUUGGGAAGGAAAAGCAGCAUGUUAAUACCCCGCUGUUCUGACGGUACCCAAAGAAUAAGCACCGGCUAACUUCGUG
Molecule: ribosomal RNA, 492 nt
Filed under: uncultured bacterium
Lineage: Bacteria
Description: partial 16S ribosomal RNA
Rfam family: Bacterial small subunit ribosomal RNA
Source: RNAcentral